GUGAGGAAUAUUGGUCAAUGGACGAGAGUCUGAACCAGCCAAGUCGCGUGAAGGAAGACGGUUCUAUGAAUUGUAAACUUCUUUUGUGCAGGAAUAAAGUGGGUUACGUGUAACCUUUUGUAUGUACUGUACGAAUAAGGAUCGGCUAACUCCGUGCCAGCAGCCGCGGUAAUAUGGAGGAUCCGAGCGUUAUCCGGAUUUAUUGGGUUUAAAGGGUGCGUAGGUGGAUUGAUAAGUCAGCGGUGAAAGUUUGCAGCUUAACUGUAAAAUUGCCGUUGAAACUGUCGGUCUUGAGUGCAAAUGAGGUAGGCGGAAUGUGUUGUGUAGCGGUGAAAUGCUUAGAUAUAACACAGAACUCCGAUUGCGAAGGCAGCUUACUGGGAUGCAACUGACACUGAUGCACGAAAGCGUGGGUAUCAAACAGGAUUAGAAACCCUAGUAGUCC
Molecule: ribosomal RNA, 445 nt
Filed under: uncultured bacterium
Lineage: Bacteria
Description: partial 16S ribosomal RNA
Rfam family: Bacterial small subunit ribosomal RNA
Source: RNAcentral